CAAGUCAGCCGAGUCGACUCCAAAACGAUCCGAGUCGACUCCGAGGCAGUUCAGCUCCAAAAAACUACAAAAGGUAACUAACUUGUGCUUUAUGGCACAAGAAGAUAAGGUAAAAUCUGAAUCUACUUUUACAUCAAAUGAUUCUCAAGAAGAAUUCCCUUAUGAUGAAUUAUUAAAUGCUUUUCAUAAUUUGUAUGGUGAAUGUAGAAAAUUAGCUAUAAAGAAUAAAAAUCUUAAGAAAC
RNAcentral lists this long non-coding RNA (242 nucleotides) under Phoenix dactylifera (date palm). RNAcentral describes it as "long non-coding RNA (PDAC_LNC010136)". Lineage: Eukaryota; Viridiplantae; Streptophyta; Magnoliopsida; Arecales; Arecaceae. The record is from RNAcentral.